Molecule: non-coding RNA, 82 nt
Organism: Cheilinus undulatus (humphead wrasse)
Lineage: Eukaryota; Metazoa; Chordata; Actinopteri; Labriformes; Labridae
Source: the annotation of a RefSeq genome assembly
GAUGAGGUGACCGAGUGGCUAAGGUGAUGGACUGUUAAUCCAUUGUCCUCUGCACGUGUGGGUUCAAAUCCCAUCCUUGUCG